AUUAGCAUUUGAGGUGAAGUUCUGUUAUACACUCAGGCUGUGGCUCUCUGAAAGUCAGUGCAUCACAGAACUUUGUCUCGAAAGCUUUCUA
RNAcentral lists this microRNA precursor (91 nucleotides) under Rhinolophus ferrumequinum (greater horseshoe bat). Its description in RNAcentral is "microRNA 148b (ENSRFEG00010003443.1)". The stretch from base 9 to 82 matches the Rfam family "mir-148/mir-152 microRNA precursor family". From Rfam's summary of the family: The hairpin precursors (represented here) are predicted based on base pairing and cross-species conservation -- their extents are not known. The record is from RNAcentral. Lineage: Eukaryota; Metazoa; Chordata; Mammalia; Chiroptera; Rhinolophidae.